This 634-nucleotide ribosomal RNA is filed under the name Arthrobacter sp. Se1Pt_1546. RNAcentral describes it as "bacterial SSU rRNA". It matches the Rfam family "Bacterial small subunit ribosomal RNA", at positions 382 to 1027 of the family's 1533-position model. Lineage: Bacteria; Bacillati; Actinomycetota; Actinomycetes; Micrococcales; Micrococcaceae. The record is from RNAcentral.
CCUGAUGCAGCGACGCCGCGUGAGGGAUGACGGCCUUCGGGUUGUAAACCUCUUUCAGUAGGGAAGAAGCGUAAGUGACGGUACCUGCAGAAGAAGCGCCGGCUAACUACGUGCCAGCAGCCGCGGUAAUACGUAGGGCGCAAGCGUUAUCCGGAAUUAUUGGGCGUAAAGAGCUCGUAGGCGGUUUGUCGCGUCUGCCGUGAAAGUCCGGGGCUCAACUCCGGAUCUGCGGUGGGUACGGGCAGACUAGAGUGAUGUAGGGGAGACUGGAAUUCCUGGUGUAGCGGUGAAAUGCGCAGAUAUCAGGAGGAACACCGAUGGCGAAGGCAGGUCUCUGGGCAUUAACUGACGCUGAGGAGCGAAAGCAUGGGGAGCGAACAGGAUUAGAUACCCUGGUAGUCCAUGCCGUAAACGUUGGGCACUAGGUGUGGGGGACAUUCCACGUUUUCCGCGCCGUAGCUAACGCAUUAAGUGCCCCGCCUGGGGAGUACGGCCGCAAGGCUAAAACUCAAAGGAAUUGACGGGGGCCCGCACAAGCGGCGGAGCAUGCGGAUUAAUUCGAUGCAACGCGAAGAACCUUACCAAGGCUUGACAUGAACCGGAAACGCCUGGAAACAGGUGCCCCACUUGUGGU